Molecule: small RNA, 86 nt
Filed under: Flavobacterium omnivorum
Lineage: Bacteria; Pseudomonadati; Bacteroidota; Flavobacteriia; Flavobacteriales; Flavobacteriaceae
Description: Flavo-1 RNA
Rfam family: Flavo-1 RNA
Source: RNAcentral
CCCUAGCCCUAAUAGCAGUGUAAAUCCUUUCUAUUCCUGAACUUGUUUCAGGAAUAGAAAGAUUGAAACGAAUAGCAGGAAUAGCU